This 2939-nucleotide ribosomal RNA is filed under the name Yersinia kristensenii. Its description in RNAcentral is "bacterial LSU rRNA". It matches the Rfam family "Bacterial large subunit ribosomal RNA". The record is from RNAcentral. Lineage: Bacteria; Pseudomonadati; Pseudomonadota; Gammaproteobacteria; Enterobacterales; Yersiniaceae.
GGGUUGUGAGGUUAAGCGACUAAGCGUACACGGUGGAUGCCUAGGCAGUCAGAGGCGAUGAAGGGCGUGCUAAUCUGCGAAAAGCGUCGGUAAGGUGAUAUGAACCGUUAUAACCGACGAUACCCGAAUGGGGAAACCCAGUGCAAUUCGUUGCACUAUUGCAUGGUGAAUACAUAGCCAUGCAAGGCGAACCGGGGGAACUGAAACAUCUAAGUACCCCGAGGAAAAGAAAUCAACCGAGAUUCCCCCAGUAGCGGCGAGCGAACGGGGAGGAGCCCAGAGUCUGAAUCAGUUUGUGUGUUAGUGGAAGCGUCUGGAAAGUCGCAGGGUACAGGGUGAUACUCCCGUACACAAAAACACACUUGCUGUGAACUCGAUGAGUAGGGCGGGACACGUGACAUCCUGUCUGAAUAUGGGGGGACCAUCCUCCAAGGCUAAAUACUCCUGACUGACCGAUAGUGAACCAGUACCGUGAGGGAAAGGCGAAAAGAACCCCGGCGAGGGGAGUGAAAUAGAACCUGAAACCGUGUACGUACAAGCAGUGGGAGCCUACUUUGUUGGGUGACUGCGUACCUUUUGUAUAAUGGGUCAGCGACUUAUAUUUUGUAGCAAGGUUAACCGAAUAGGGGAGCCGUAGGGAAACCGAGUCUUAACUGGGCGUCUAGUUGCAAGGUAUAGACCCGAAACCCGGUGAUCUAGCCAUGGGCAGGUUGAAGGUUGGGUAACACUAACUGGAGGACCGAACCGACUAAUGUUGAAAAAUUAGCGGAUGACUUGUGGCUGGGGGUGAAAGGCCAAUCAAACCGGGAGAUAGCUGGUUCUCCCCGAAAGCUAUUUAGGUAGCGCCUCGUGAACUCAUCUUCGGGGGUAGAGCACUGUUUCGGCUAGGGGGCCAUCCCGGCUUACCAAACCGAUGCAAACUCCGAAUACCGAAGAAUGUUAUCACGGGAGACACACGGCGGGUGCUAACGUCCGUCGUGAAGAGGGAAACAACCCAGACCGCCAGCUAAGGUCCCAAAGUCAUGGUUAAGUGGGAAACGAUGUGGGAAGGCAUAGACAGCCAGGAUGUUGGCUUAGAAGCAGCCAUCAUUUAAAGAAAGCGUAAUAGCUCACUGGUCGAGUCGGCCUGCGCGGAAGAUGUAACGGGGCUAAACCAUGCACCGAAGCUGCGGCAGCGACGCUUAGGCGUUGUUGGGUAGGGGAGCGUUCUGUAAGCCGUUGAAGGUGACCUGUGAGGGUUGCUGGAGGUAUCAGAAGUGCGAAUGCUGACAUAAGUAACGAUAAUGCGGGUGAAAAACCCGCACGCCGGAAGACCAAGGGUUCCUGUCCAACGUUAAUCGGGGCAGGGUGAGUCGACCCCUAAGGCGAGGCUGAAAAGCGUAGUCGAUGGGAAACAGGUUAAUAUUCCUGUACUUGGUGUUACUGCGAAGGGGGGACGGAGAAGGCUAGGCUAGCCGGGCGACGGUUGUCCCGGUUUAAGCAUGUAGGCGGAGCGACUUGGUAAAUCCGGUUGCUUAUCAACGCUGAGGUGUGAUGACGAGUCACUACGGUGAUGAAGUAGUUGAUGCCAAGCUUCCAGGAAAAGCCUCUAAGCAUCAGGUAACAUUAAAUCGUACCCCAAACCGACACAGGUGGUCAGGUAGAGAAUACUCAGGCGCUUGAGAGAACUCGGGUGAAGGAACUAGGCAAAAUGGUGCCGUAACUUCGGGAGAAGGCACGCUGGCAUUAGGUAAAGGGACUUGCUCCCGGAGCUGAAGCCAGUCGCAGAUACCAGCUGGCUGCAACUGUUUAAUAAAAACACAGCACUGUGCAAACACGAAAGUGGACGUAUACGGUGUGACGCCUGCCCGGUGCUGGAAGGUUAAUUGAUGGGGUCAGCCGCAAGGCGAAGCUCUUGAUCGAAGCCCCAGUAAACGGCGGCCGUAACUAUAACGGUCCUAAGGUAGCGAAAUUCCUUGUCGGGUAAGUUCCGACCUGCACGAAUGGCGUAAUGAUGGCCAGGCUGUCUCCACCCGAGACUCAGUGAAAUUGAACUCGCUGUGAAGAUGCAGUGUACCCGCGGCAAGACGGAAAGACCCCGUGAACCUUUACUAUAGCUUGACACUGAACAUUGAGCCUUGAUGUGUAGGAUAGGUGGGAGGCAUUGAAGUGUGGACGCCAGUCUGCAUGGAGCCAACCUUGAAAUACCACCCUUUAAUGUUUGAUGUUCUAACUCGGCCCCGUGAUCCGGGGUGAGGACAGUGUCUGGUGGGUAGUUUGACUGGGGCGGUCUCCUCCCAAAGAGUAACGGAGGAGCACGAAGGUUAGCUAAUCACGGUCGGACAUCGUGAGGUUAGUGCAAAGGCAUAAGCUAGCUUGACUGCGAGAGUGACGGCUCGAGCAGGUACGAAAGUAGGUCUUAGUGAUCCGGUGGUUCUGAAUGGAAGGGCCAUCGCUCAACGGAUAAAAGGUACUCCGGGGAUAACAGGCUGAUACCGCCCAAGAGUUCAUAUCGACGGCGGUGUUUGGCACCUCGAUGUCGGCUCAUCACAUCCUGGGGCUGAAGUAGGUCCCAAGGGUAUGGCUGUUCGCCAUUUAAAGUGGUACGCGAGCUGGGUUUAGAACGUCGUGAGACAGUUCGGUCCCUAUCUGCCGUGGGCGUUGGAAGAUUGAGAGGGGCUGCUCCUAGUACGAGAGGACCGGAGUGGACGAAUCACUGGUGUUCGGGUUGUCAUGCCAAUGGCAUUGCCCGGUAGCUAAAUUCGGAAGAGAUAACCGCUGAAAGCAUCUAAGCGGGAAACUUGCCUCGAGAUGAGUCUUCCCUGGGGCUUUAAGCCCCCUGAAGGAACGUUAAAGACUAUGACGUUGAUAGGCUGGGUGUGUAAGUGCAGCGAUGCAUUGAGCUAACCAGUACUAAUGAUCCGUGAGGCUUAACCUUACAACACCGAAGGUGUUUUGUA